Molecule: long non-coding RNA, 473 nt
Organism: Oreochromis aureus
Lineage: Eukaryota; Metazoa; Chordata; Actinopteri; Cichliformes; Cichlidae
Source: Ensembl
CAGCCAGCCGGGCUGCCCAGGUAAUGGACGAAGUGAGUGUGCUGACUAGAGAAAAAUCAACCGAGAGCGUGAGCGAAGGUUACCGAAGAAAAAACAGAUGAUGGUUCCAAUGCCGGAGAGCUUGUCGAACGGAAGGGCCACAGAAGUUCCAUAGUGUGAAGGAUCAUCUGUGGGCUGGACUCUUCUCCGCCCUAUUCCUUUGUGGCUGUUUCCCCACCUGUGGAAGAUGAGCAGUCAUAGCUCCUGCUGAAGUCAUUCUUCGCUGAAACGUUGGCCUAUAUCAUUAGUUGUUGUUCCCCUUCGUCGUGUCCUGGAGCAUGGUCAGAGAGAGAGUUCUCCCCCCAAAGCCAAGUGAGUGUGCAUGGAUCCUGUGGAUUAACCUGCUGUUUGGACCCUCUGGCUCCCUGGAUCUUCCUCCAGGAUUAACCCCUGUCCAUAUGAGUGUUUUCUGUGUAAAUAAACUUUUCUAACAU